UACGUAGGGUGCAAGCGUUGUCCGGAAUUAUUGGGCGUAAAGGGCUCGUAGGCGGUCCAUCACGUCGGGAGUGAAAAGCUGGGGCUUAACCCCAGUCCUGCUUCCGAUACGGGUGGACUAGAGGUAGGCAGGGGAGAACGGAAUUCCUGGUGUAGCGGUGAAAUGCGCAGAUAUCAGGAGGAACACCGGUGGCGAAGGCGGGUCUCUGGGCAUUAACUGACGCUGAGGAGCGAAAGCAUGGGGAGCGAACAGG
Molecule: ribosomal RNA, 253 nt
Filed under: uncultured bacterium
Lineage: Bacteria
Description: partial 16S ribosomal RNA
Rfam family: Bacterial small subunit ribosomal RNA
Source: RNAcentral